AUUGAACGCUGGCGGAAUGCUUUACACAUGCAAGUCGAACGGCAGCACGGGGGCAACCCUGGCGGCGAGCGGCGAACGGGUGAGUAAUACAUCGGAACGUACCCAGGAGUGGGGGAUAGCCCGGCGAAAGCCGGAUUAAUACCGCAUACGAUCUUAGGAUGAAAGUGGGGGACCGCAAGGCCUCACGCUUUUGGAGCGGCCGAUGUCCGAUUAGCUAGUUGGUGGGGUAAAGGCCUACCAAGGCGACGAUCGGUAGCUGGUCUGAGAGGAUGAUCAGCCACACUGGGACUGAGACACGGCCCAGACUCCUACGGGAGGCAGCAGUGGGGAAUUUUGGACAAUGGGGGGAACCCUGAUCCAGCCAUGCCGCGUGCGGGAAGAAGGCC
This 386-nucleotide ribosomal RNA is filed under the name uncultured bacterium. Its description in RNAcentral is "bacterial SSU rRNA". It matches the Rfam family "Bacterial small subunit ribosomal RNA", at positions 29 to 416 of the family's 1533-position model. The record is from RNAcentral.